This 253-nucleotide ribosomal RNA is filed under the name uncultured bacterium. RNAcentral's name for it is "partial 16S ribosomal RNA". It matches the Rfam family "Bacterial small subunit ribosomal RNA", at positions 524 to 776 of the family's 1533-position model. The record is from RNAcentral.
UACGUAGGGUGCAAGCGUUGUCCGGAUUUAUUGGGUUUAAAGGGUGCGUAGGCGGCCUGUUAAGUCAGUGGUGAAAUCCAACAGCUCAACUGUUGAUGUGCCAAUGAUACUGACAGGCUUGAGUACAGACGAGGUAGGCGGAAUUGACAGUGUAGCGGUGAAAUGCAUAGAUAUUGUCAAGAACACCGAUAGCGAAGGCAGCUUACUACACGGUGAUUGACACUGAGGCACGAAAGCGUGGGGAGCAAACAGG